RNAcentral lists this ribosomal RNA (543 nucleotides) under Salmonella enterica subsp. enterica serovar Bareilly. RNAcentral's name for it is "partial 23S ribosomal RNA". It matches the Rfam family "Bacterial large subunit ribosomal RNA", at positions 1 to 584 of the family's 2925-position model. The record is from RNAcentral. Lineage: Bacteria; Pseudomonadati; Pseudomonadota; Gammaproteobacteria; Enterobacterales; Enterobacteriaceae.
GUUAAGCGACUAAGCGUACACGGUGGAUGCCCUGGCAGUCAGAGGCGAUGAAGGGCGUGCUAAUCUGCGAUAAGCGCCGGUAAGGUGAUAUGAACCGUUAUAACCGGCGAUACCCGAAUGGGGAAACCCAGUGUGAUUCGUCACACUAUCAUUAACUGAAUCCAUAGGUUAAUGAGGCGAACCGGGGGAACUGAAACAUCUAAGUACCCCGAGGAAAAGAAAUCAACCGAGAUUCCCCCAGUAGCGGCGAGCGAACGGGGAGGAGCCCAGAGCCUGAAUCAGCAUGUGUGUUAGUGGAAGCGUCUGGAAAGGCGCGCGAUACAGGGUGACAGCCCCGUACACAAAAGCGCAUGUGCUGUGAGCUCGAUGAGUAGGGCGGGACACGUGGUAUCCUGUCUGAAUAUGGGGGGACCAUCCUCCAAGGCUAAAUACUCCUGACUGACCGAUAGUGAACCAGUACCGUGAGGGAAAGGCGAAAAGAACCCCGGCGAGGGGAGUGAAAAAGAACCUGAAACCGUGUACGUACAAGCAGUGGGAGCACAG